Molecule: ribosomal RNA, 448 nt
Filed under: uncultured bacterium
Lineage: Bacteria
Description: bacterial SSU rRNA
Rfam family: Bacterial small subunit ribosomal RNA
Source: RNAcentral
AGCGAACGCUGGCGGCAGGCCUAACACAUGCAAGUCGAGCGCCCAGCAAUGGGAGCGGCAGACGGGAGAGUAACACGUGGGAACGUGCCCUUCAGUUCGGAACAACCAAGGGAAACUUUGGCUAAUACCGGAUACGUCCGAAAGGAGAAAGAUUUAUCGCUGAAGGAGCGGCCCGCGUCUGAUUAGCUAGUUGGUGAGGUAAUGGCUCACCAAGGCGACGAUCAGUAGCUGGUCUGAGAGGAUGAUCAACCUCACUGGGACUGAGACACGGCCCAGACUCCUACGGGAGGCAGCAGUGGGGAAUAUUGGACAAUGGGCGCAAGCCUGAUCCAGCCAUGCCGCGUGGAUGAUGAAGGCCCUAGGGUUGUAAAGUCCUUUCGUUGGGGAAGAUAAUGACGGUACCCAAAGAAGAAGCCCCGGCUAACUUCGUGCCAGCAGCCGCGGUAAU